AUUGAACGCUGGCGGCAUGCUUUACACAUGCAAGUCGAACGGUAACGCGGGCUUCGGCCUGGCGACGAGUGGCGAACGGGUGAGUACAACAUCGGAACGUAUCCUGAAGUGGGGGAUAGCCCGGCGAAAGCCGGAUUAAUACCGCAUGAUCUCUUAGGAGCAAAGCGGGGGAGCCGUAAGGUCCUCGCGCUAUUGGAGCGGCCGAUGCCGGAUUAGCUUGUUGGUGGGGUAAAGGCCUACCAAGGCAACGAUCCGUAGCUGGUCUGAGAGGAUGAUCAGCCACACUGGAACUGAGACACGGUCCAG
Molecule: ribosomal RNA, 306 nt
Filed under: uncultured bacterium
Lineage: Bacteria
Description: bacterial SSU rRNA
Rfam family: Bacterial small subunit ribosomal RNA
Source: RNAcentral